This 795-nucleotide ribosomal RNA is filed under the name Celeribacter halophilus. RNAcentral's name for it is "bacterial SSU rRNA". It matches the Rfam family "Bacterial small subunit ribosomal RNA", at positions 84 to 913 of the family's 1533-position model. The record is from RNAcentral. Lineage: Bacteria; Pseudomonadati; Pseudomonadota; Alphaproteobacteria; Rhodobacterales; Roseobacteraceae.
CUUCGGAUCUAGUGGCGGACGGGUUAGUAACGCGUGGGAACGUACCCUUCACUACGGAAUAGUCCCGGGAAACUGGGUUUAAUACCGUAUACGCCCUUCGGGGGAAAGAAUUUCGGUGAGGGAUCGGCCCGCGUUAGAUUAGUUAGUUGGUGGGGUAAUGGCCUACCAAGACUACGAUCUAUAGCUGGUUUGAGAGGAUGAUCAGCAACACUGGGACUGAGACACGGCCCAGACUCCUACGGGAGGCAGCAGUGGGGAAUCUUAGACAAUGGGGGCAACCCUGAUCUAGCGAUGCCGCGUGAGUGAUGAAGGCCUUAGGGUCGUAAAGCUCUUUCGCCUGUGAUGAUAAUGACAGUAGCAGGUAAAGAAACCCCGGCUAACUCCGUGCCAGCAGCCGCGGUAAUACGGAGGGGGUUAGCGUUGUUCGGAAUUACUGGGCGUAAAGCGCACGUAGGCGGAUUAGUCAGUCAGAGGUGAAAUCCCAGGGCUCAACCCUGGAACUGCCUUUGAUACUGCUAGUCUUGAGUUCGAGAGAGGUAAGUGGAAUUCCGAGUGUAGAGGUGAAAUUCGUAGAUAUUCGGAGGAACACCAGUGGCGAAGGCGGCUUACUGGCUCGAUACUGACGCUGAGGUGCGAAAGUGUGGGGAGCAAACAGGAUUAGAUACCCUGGUAGUCCACACCGUAAACGAUGAAUGCCAGUCGUCGGGUAGCAUGCUUAUUCGGUGACACACCUAACGGAUUAAGCAUUCCGCCUGGGGGAGUACGGGUCGCAAGAUUAAAACUCAAAGGGAUUUG